AUGACCGGCGGCAGCGGAGGCACCACCCGGCGUCCAUCCGCCGCCUCCAGGAGCCGCGGUGACCCCUCCUCCUCUGCCCCGGAUCCGGACGCGCGCCGGGCCGCCGCCGCCGCCGCAGCGCGGCGCAGUGGCCGCGGCGACCAUGCCCCCCUGCGCCUCAUGGCCGUGAGCGCCCGAACCCUCCUUCUCCUAGUGAUUGCUUCCGUCGCCCUCCUGUCCCUCGCCUUCCUCGCGUAUACUGGCGGGUGGUGGCAGGCUGAGGCGGAGUCGGAGGGCGCCGCGGCGCGGCGCAGGAUGGCGCGCUCCGUCACGCCGCUUGAUGCGCCCCGGAUGAUGGAUCUGCCUCAGUUCCAAGGUGAUCACAAAGAAAGCUUGUAUUGGGGUACUUACAGGCCAAAUGUAUAUCUUGGAAUUCGUGCUAGAACUCCGUUGUCUCUAAUUGCUGGGUUAAUGUGGAUUGGCGUGAAAAAUGGACAAUAUUUUAUUCGCCAUGUCUGCCAAGAUUCUGAUGAGCUUAGCAAAUAUGGCUGGGCAGAUCACAAUGGUAGGGAUUAUGGACGUCAAGAGCUGACUGAUCAUGGCUUGCACUUGACCACUAGCUUUCUAAAAGAGAAAGGAGAUGGCAGUGGCUAUGGAGGAGACUGGGCAGUUCGAUUGGAUGCUAAGAACGAGGGGUCAAGUUUAAGUGAAGCCCAAGAAAGCACCACACAUCUGUUCUUCUAUAUUGCUGACGAAGCAGGGAAGUUGAUCACUAUGGGCUCACAUGAGCCUCCGUCGAGAGGUCCUGUUCUUUUGGCCUCUGGAUUGCAUGAAGAGAUUGGUGAUUGGGAACUUUACCUGAGAUCUGAGGACAAUUUGGAAAUUCACAGAGCUGGAUUCCAGACGACCAGUAUGCAUAAUCUAAGUGACCUAGUACAACAUGCCCUUGUGACUAAUGCAAGGCAAAGCGGGAACCUUAAUCUGCCAGACAUGGCCGAAGACUCUUCAAAUGCAAUGAUCUAUCAGGUUUCAAUAAAACUUCCUGCCAAAAUAGACAUAGUGUUCUUGUCAGGGGCUGGCUCAAAAAAUCCAAUGACUGCAGAACGCGUUAACAGGCUAACAGGUCCCAUGCUGAGCACCCGCCUUGAAUCAAAACAGAAAGAUUUUGAAGAGAGAUAUGAUCAAAUUUUCAACGUAAAUAAUAAGAUUGUUUCCAAAGAACUAUCUGUUGGUAGAGCUGCCUUGUCAAGUCUACUUGGCGGUAUUGGCUACUUCUACGGGCAGUCAAAAAUUGCACUUCCAAAAGGUUUUUCACAAAAAAAUGGAGAUAAAUAUAUUCCAUAUUGGCCUGCUGCACUAUAUACAGCUGUGCCCAGUCGCUCAUUUUUCCCUAGGGGAUUCCUGUGGGACGAGGGCUUCCAUCAGUUAGUCAUUUGGCGCUGGGAUGCCCAUAUAUCGAUGGACAUAAUUGGCCAUUGGUUGGAUCUAAUUAAUGCGGAUGGAUGGAUUCCUCGAGAGCAAAUAUUAGGGGCUGAAGCUUUAAGUUUUUUGGCUUCAUGCAGUAAAGUUCCUGAGGAAUUCGUUCUGCAGUAUCCUUCCAAUGGAAACCCUCCGACAUUAUUUCUUGCGCUGCGUGACUUGGCAAGUGGCAUACAUGCACACCAGUUUUCGGAUGAGGAAGCUGAAAAGAUAUCCACUUUCCUUAAAAGGGCUUAUGUACGGCUGAACUCUUGGUUCCAGUGGUUCAAUAGUACGCAAUCAGGGAAAUAUGAAGGGACGUUUUUUUGGCAUGGAAGAGACAGUAUGACAACAAGGGAGUUAAACCCAAAGACUUUGACAUCUGGGUUGGAUGACUAUCCUCGUGCAUCUCACCCUAACGAUGAGGAGCGCCAUGUUGACCUUCGGUGCUGGAUGCUUCUAGCUACAAAUUGUAUGCGCUCAAUCGCCGGGUUUCUUAAAAUGGACAGCUCUCUUGAGAAGGAUUACUAUAAAUUGUCAGAUCAACUUUCAGAUUUUGAGACACUUAACAAGAUGCACUUGGAUGACAAAACUGGUGCCUAUUUUGACUUUGGUAACCAUACAGAAAAGGUUCGUUUGAGAUGGUAUGAAGAUAGGGAGGCUAUGAAACGAGAACUCCUGCGGGAGACAUUAGAAGCCCCGCAGCUGCAAUUAGUACCUCAUGUUGGUUAUGUCAGCCUAUUCCCAUUCAUGAUGGGGGCCAUUCCACCUGAAUCAUGGGUUCUUGAGAAGCAGCUUGACCUUAUAUCCAACACCUCUAUCCUGUGGACGGAUUAUGGCCUCCGGUCACUUUCUAGAACAAGCUCAAUGUAUAUGAAGCGUAAUACGGAGCAUGACGCUCCGUACUGGAGAGGUGCCAUUUGGAUAAACAUGAACUACAUGAUUCUUUCAGGACUCCAUCACUAUGCACACGAGGAUGGUCCGUACAGGGUCAGGGCAGGGGAACUGUACGAUGAGCUAAGAUCGAACCUGAUUCGGAACAUUGUAGGGAAUUACCAGGAAACCGGGUUCUUCUGGGAGAACUACGACCAGAAGAACAAAGGGAAGGGGAAGGGCGCGAGGUCGUUCACCGGAUGGACGUCCCUCGUCGUCCUGAUCAUGGCCGAGUCCUACCCAUCGUUGCACAGGUAG
This 2628-nucleotide ribosomal RNA is filed under the name Triticum aestivum (bread wheat). Its description in RNAcentral is "partial small subunit ribosomal RNA". The record is from RNAcentral. Lineage: Eukaryota; Viridiplantae; Streptophyta; Magnoliopsida; Poales; Poaceae.